Non-coding RNA from Vicugna pacos (alpaca), 2199 nucleotides. Lineage: Eukaryota; Metazoa; Chordata; Mammalia; Artiodactyla; Camelidae. The record is from RefSeq and is a predicted model, not a curated record.
AUAUCAGUCAAAUACACAUCUGCUUUGCUCAUCACUGUAACAUAGUAUCCACAGAGGAAAGCUAGUGAAUAUUUGUUAGAUAAACAUGAUUUGAAAUCUGGCUACUGGAAAGUACAACUAAAAUCUAAAGUUUCCCGAAUUUAGGAAUAAAUUCAGAUUGAACGUAAUUCUGAAAGAUACUUUAUUUUCACUAUGAAAUAGUUCAACCUCACAGAGGUAAGGAUGGGUAGGAGAAGGGAGAGAAGCUAUAAACAAAUAAAUGAGGUUCAUAGGAGAAAAUAGCUCCUCUGAGGGGAGCCACAUGCUCUGAUACCCAUGGCAGCCCAGCCACAUGAGGAAGCAGCCUAAAAUUAGCAGGAUGGGCAAGCCCAGGAAGGGAAAGCCACAGCAGCUUUCCCGGCACUCAACAAGUGAGGUGAAGGGCCAGGAGCCCCGGUGGAACCCUCCUGUGGAGAAACACUGCAGUUUGUGCCAGGGGGUGGGGGAUGCGUAAUGUGUAGCAAGGGAGAAGAGAACCUCUUCUGUUGGGAGUACUAACUGAUGAUUCGUCCUAAAGGGAAAUUGUCAUUGCGUCUAGUUUCCAUUCGGAGUGAGUACUUAUAACUUAUUAUUCUAAGAUCAUUCAAUUACAGUGACAAUUCAGUGCUACAUCUAAUUAUAUGAUUAAUAAAUGCUUUUCAGUAACAACAAUUUUUACUUAAUGAUAAUCUUGGAUAUGGCCUGAUAGAAUGAAGUGCACUCAUUUAGGAUAAUAUUAGAGAACUUAUAUAGUACAUAUCCUAAGGAUUUAGAAAAUAAUUAAUGAAGUAAGAUGUAGCGUAUCUAGAACAGUGCCUGGCAGGUAUUAGAUUUUUAGUAAAUAGCUGUAUUUUCCUCCAAUGUUAAACAUUUGCUCCCAGUGUUCAACAUUUACUCAUAUUAUAAAACACAGAGUAGAUCUGAAGAAAACCUUAACCUAGCAGAGUGCUUUGAACAUACUAGUUACUCAAUAAAUGCAUUUCAAAACAGGAAAGAGAUAUAGUCAUGGAUGUGUGCGUUUUACAGCUGUGAUAUUAUUUUAUAAAGGCUAUGGAAAAUAGUUUCAUAUGCUGGACAAGGAGGCACCAAUUAUAAUUUCAAGUUGGAGGAAAGAGAGUUUGAGCUGAUAUCAGCCACAAUCUUGGAUAACUGACUUUCUCUGGUCUUCAAUUAUCUACAACUCCAAGAUAAGAAUGAUAGGCUGGAUCAUAGCUAAAAUGUCAUCCCUAUUGUUCAUAUUGUUGAAAUAUCAUAUGGCAAGGUCUCCGAGAUACACCUACCUUGUAUUUAUUUCAUGCUAAAGGUUUGCACAUUGAAUUACAGGAUUGCUUCUUAGGGAAGUCCAUUUGGCUUACUGUCAUAAAACUUGCAGCUUGUAAUUACCUUGAUGAAAUCACCAGUUUUCAUCGUCUGGGCCUCAACUAUCCAAGCUCAGAAACCCAACUUGUUUUUCAAAAAUUCUUACAAUGAUGCAAUUCUUUAGCAACGUAUUUUACAUUAACCAAACUUCUGAAAGAGUAAUGGACAUCCACAGUUCCAAUUUGUUAAUUUACAAUGAGAAAGAUGGCUUUAGUGCAAACCAAAUGUCAUAUUGUCCUAUAAAUUUUUUUUCUAUAAAGAAGUCUAUUAAAAAAAAACUCAAUGGAAAUCAGAAUGCUACUGCAUGAGCAUGAAUUGGAACAUGGUAAAUAAUCAGUCAUGGCAUCUGGCAAUGUUGGCCUGGGGCUGCCAGCACCACGAUCAGGAGCAGAUAGGGCCCUCUUGGAUCAACACUGCUUGAUUCUUCUCUAAUUUCCCUUUCUUACUUGUCAUUCUGAUUACCUCUUCAGGUAUAGCUAUAGAUCUCAAUAUAGAUACAGACACACAUAUGUAUAUUUAUAUACAUGCAUAUAUUUGAUAAUAGGUAGGUAGGUGGAUAAAUAGAUGAUAGCUAGAUACCAUCAGUUAGGCUACAGCCAAAUUUUGCUCCCUUUUUUUCUACUGGUGUCCUUGAAGAUUUUUUUUUCUGCUAUGGGGGCAACUUUUAUUAUUCUUUCUCUUUAUAAAUAUAAUACACACUUAUUAGAAGUUAUUUAAAAGUCCAACUAAGAACAAAUAUGAGAGAAAAAUAUCCCAGAGUUCCACAACCUAGUUAUAACCAUUAACAAUUUAGAAUAUUGUACUCCAGAAUUUUAAAAACUA